GACGAACGCUGGCGGCGUGCUUAACACAUGCAAGUCGAACGGAAAGGCCCUGCUUGCAGGGUGCUCGAGUGGCGAACGGGUGAGUAACACGUGGGUGAUCUGCCCCUUACUUUGGGAUAAGCCUGGGAAACUGGGUCUAAUACUGGAUAGGACCAUGCUGUAGGUGGUGUGGUGGAAAGAUUAGUUUCGGUAAGGGAUGAGCUCGCGGCCUAUCAGCUUGUUGGCGGGGUAAUGGCCUACCAAGGCGUCGACGGGUAGCCGGCCUGAGAGGGUGGACGGCCACAUUGGGACUGAGAUACGGCCCAGACUCCUACGGGAGGCAGCAGUGGGGAAUAGUGCACAAUGGGCGCAAGCCUGAUGCAGCGACGCCGCGUGGGGGAUGACGGCCUUCGGGUUGUAAACUCCUUUCAGCCAUGACGAAGCCCUUGUGGUGACGGUAGUGGUAGAAGAAGCACCGGCUAACUACGUG
This 469-nucleotide ribosomal RNA is filed under the name uncultured bacterium. Its description in RNAcentral is "partial 16S ribosomal RNA". It matches the Rfam family "Bacterial small subunit ribosomal RNA", at positions 28 to 507 of the family's 1533-position model. The record is from RNAcentral.